CCCCUCUCAGGGUCGCAGCUGGAGAGUUCCCAGUACUCUACCAGUCUCAACUACGGAAGGAAGAGUCAAGCAGAGGCAUACCCAUUCCAGUCCUAGCUUGGGCAGUGGCUAGAAAGUGGAAGGCAGUCUGCUACAAGU
Molecule: small nucleolar RNA, 138 nt
Organism: Tachyglossus aculeatus (Australian echidna)
Lineage: Eukaryota; Metazoa; Chordata; Mammalia; Monotremata; Tachyglossidae
Source: RefSeq, a predicted model, not a curated record